GGCCUUCGGGACAGGGGAGACAGGUGGUGCAUGGUUGUCGUCAGCUCGUGUCGUGAGAUGUUGGGUUAAGUCCCGCAACGAGCGCAACCCUUGACUUUAGUUGCCAGCAGGUAAGGCUGGGCACUCUAGAGUGACUGCCGGUGACAAACCGGAGGAAGGUGGGGAUGACGUCAAAUCAUCAUGCCCCUUAUGACCUGGGCUACACACGUACUACAAUGGCCGGUACAACGGGAAGCGAAACCGCGAGGUGGAGCCAAUCUUAUAAAGCCGGUCUCAGUUCGGAUUGCAGGCUGCAACUCGCCUGCAUGAAGUCGGAAUUGCUAGUAAUCGCGGAUCAGCAUGCCGCGGUGAAUACGUUCCCGGGUCUUGUACACACCGCCCGUCACACCACGAGAGUUUACAACACCCGAAGUCGGUGGGGUAACCC
Molecule: ribosomal RNA, 427 nt
Filed under: Paenibacillus sp. CGMCC 1.18879
Lineage: Bacteria; Bacillati; Bacillota; Bacilli; Caryophanales; Paenibacillaceae
Description: bacterial SSU rRNA
Rfam family: Bacterial small subunit ribosomal RNA
Source: RNAcentral